UUUUUUUUGUGAGAUCCUGAAAAUGUAAUUAUUAAAUGAUAAAUGUAUGAGGGUGGCAUGGCUGUGUGUUGUCACCUCACAGCUCCAGGGUCCGUGGUUGGAGCCUGAGCCUGCAUUACUGUCUGAGUGGAGUUUCUGUUGUGCAUGUUCUCCCAAUGUUUCCUGCAGGUUCUCCGGUUUCCUCUCACCUCGAAAAAGAUUCUGUGUUCCCAAGAUGGGCUACAGAUCCACCACAACCCUGACCAGGAUAAAGUGGUUACUGAAGAGGAUGAUAACGAUAUAAUCGUUUUCAAGGACAAUAUGCAUGCGAAAGGUACACACCAUGUCCCUUUGAUGGUAUAACCCCAGCGACAUUUCUGAGAGUGCAGGGGACUACAUGAGCUCUAUAGAAAACAACAGCGAGGAUUCAGCACCAGCAGCACAGCAUCAUCAUCAUCAGCAGCAUCUCGGAUCUUUAAGGUGACCGCAGCAUCCCGACCCGCAGAUCCUUACAGUGCUGCGUUUCAGUUUUAAGAGCAAUAGAGCCGACCAUGACUCUGCAUUCUCCUCCACUAAGCGCAUGCCCCCUGGUGGGUAAGUUCCCAUAUCUCCUCACUAUUUACACUCUAUUUCCAACGAUCCUGCUUUUACACCUGUUAAAUAAUCAUCAAUUCAAUGAUUGAUCGAUUUAUUACGG
Ictalurus punctatus (channel catfish) is the source of this 676-nucleotide long non-coding RNA. Lineage: Eukaryota; Metazoa; Chordata; Actinopteri; Siluriformes; Ictaluridae. The record is from Ensembl.